This 38-nucleotide ribosomal RNA is filed under the name Ganoderma boninense. RNAcentral describes it as "partial 5.8S ribosomal RNA". Lineage: Eukaryota; Fungi; Basidiomycota; Agaricomycetes; Polyporales; Polyporaceae. The record is from RNAcentral.
CUCUUGGCUCUCGCAUCGAUGAAGAAGAACGCAGCAGG